GAUGAACGCUGGCGGCGUGCCUAAUACAUGCAAGUCGAGCGAACAGAUAAGGAGCUUGCUCCUUUGACGUUAGCGGCGGACGGGUGAGUAACACGUGGGUAACCUACCUAUAAGACUGGGAUAACUUCGGGAAACCGGAGCUAAUACCGGAUAACAUUUGGAACCGCAUGGUUCUAAAGUGAAAGAUGGUUUUGCUAUCACUUAUAGAUGGACCCGCGCCGUAUUAGCUAGUUGGUAAGGUAACGGCUUACCAAGGGAACGAUUCGUAGCCGACCGGAGAGGCGGAUCGGCCACACUGGAGCUGAGCCACGGUCCAGGCUCCUACGGUAGGCAGCAGUAGGGAAUCUUCCGCAAAGGGCGAAAGCCUGACGGAGCAACGCCGCGUGAGUGAUGAAGGGUUUCGGUUCGUAAAACUCUGUUAUUAGGGAAGAACAAACGUGUAAGUAACUGUGCACGUCUUGACGGUACCUAAUCAGAAAGCCACGGCUAACUACGUG
RNAcentral lists this ribosomal RNA (497 nucleotides) under uncultured bacterium. Its description in RNAcentral is "partial 16S ribosomal RNA". It matches the Rfam family "Bacterial small subunit ribosomal RNA", at positions 28 to 507 of the family's 1533-position model. The record is from RNAcentral.